RNAcentral lists this long non-coding RNA (209 nucleotides) under Polistes fuscatus (common paper wasp). Its description in RNAcentral is "uncharacterized LOC122521591". Lineage: Eukaryota; Metazoa; Arthropoda; Insecta; Hymenoptera; Vespidae. The record is from RNAcentral.
GCUCGUAGACAACAACAACUAAACAUUUUGGAUGCAAACGACGAAGUAGAGGGUUCCUCUUAUGGUACUGGAAUAGAUGACACGAUAUAAUUUGGACCAGAGAUAUCUUGUUCACCGCCAAGCACUUUUUUUGGAGGUCUCUCCGCAGAUCAUCUACAGGAGCUAGGGGAUCCAAUAUUUUUUUAAAUAAACCGCUGAUUGUUAAAGUA